Paramuricea clavata is the source of this 9829-nucleotide non-coding RNA. NCBI's taxonomy places the organism in Eukaryota, Metazoa, Cnidaria, Anthozoa, Malacalcyonacea, Plexauridae. The record is from the annotation of a GenBank genome assembly.
AAACAGACAGACAUCUAGUGCUGUAUACAGAUCAGUGGCUCAGACAACUUCGGAUUUUCCCGAUGUUCGCCCGAAGAGUAUACUUCUAUAAAUUAUGAAAUAAUACUUCAUAUUUAAUAUUUUUGUUGAUUUUAAAAUGUUUAGAGGGGAAAAUAUGUUGUGUUACAAUCGUGGUUGGUUAGAACAAUGUGUAGAAAGCGAAAAUAGCGAAGGAAAAGAGAUUAAAAUUGGAUUUUAUAGCGUAUUUUUGAAAUAUUAAUACCAUAGUCCCCACUGCGCAUGACAAUGACGUCACUUCAUACGGGACUUCUUCUUCACCACACAGUUUUUGGCGGGAAAAUUUGUAAUGUUUGGAGAAGACAAGAUGGGCGCCGGUUACUUCGUGUCGUCAAAGGGCAUUUUUGUUCACAAAUACCCGCUUAUUUUACGUUAUGGCGACUGUAAUUAUAACUUAAUGGACAGGGGAAACGAUUGUGUAGUAAAGAGAAAAGUACUUGUCGUUUAUAUUGACUUUAUAUUGUGAUGUUUUUGUUGUGAAAGACGGCCCGAAAUUUCGCCACAUCGCUGUACUGGUUUAUAAAAAAUUCUACUCGAAAUUCGACCAUGGAUAAAGAGACAACGCUCGAAUGAAAGAACUGCCUGUGUUAAUGGUAAGUUUUUAAAAGGUUUUCGGUAAUAUUUUUUAGUUCAAAGCUGUUCUCUCGAAGCUAUACUUCGGUAGAGUCGACAGUACUCAAUAGACAAUUGUGUUAACGUUGUUUUAUUCAUGUUGUUGCUACCCAUUCACAACUAAGUUAAAUCAAAUGCCUAUUUAAAGUAUUUUAUCUUUGUUAGAAUUAUUAAAUAUGACUUUAGAACACAAAUAUUUUCCAUUAGUUUUAAAAUUAAUUUAAAGAAAGUACAGUAUUUUAUCAUGUUUGGUGAUAGAUUUUAAAUUAACAUAACAAGACAUAGAUUUACAUGGCAAGAAAUAAAAAUAUAGUGUAAUUUUUGUGUAUUUUUCCAAGGGGGCACCACAAUUUUGCCUGGGGCCCCGGGCCCAUCUCGGUCAUGUCUAUAUAUCAAUAUAUGGAGCACAAUAAGGGCACAAUGCAGCUUAAUAAUGCACCAGUCAUUUGAAACCCUGGCCACCCGACCUCCAUGGAUAUGCGGGGUUUUAACAUUUCACAAGUGUUAAAAUUCCGACUUAAAAAUGUUGUUCAAUUGUUAAAUUACUCGGGUGGUGGCUGGGUCAAAUAAGAAAACGAGUACACAAAUUGUCGUAGACAAAGUACUUUAUUCGUACUUAUAUAAUUUCGUGCAUACUUCACUUGUUCCUCGACUUGUUCAGUUUAUAUCUGUCCAUCAAUUUUGCAAAUAAUCACUGUAUUUAUUUUAUUUUUAUUUAUUAGUUUUGCCAUAUUACAAUACACAAAACUAUAACAAGAAUAAUAUACAUGACUAUAGGCAGGGUGACCGCAACGGCGUGAGCCAAUUACUGCGGGCCUGAAUUACUGUACUGUAAUUUGAGGCAAUAUUACCCAUAUUUUGACAACUAACGGCGUUUGCAUGUCUAAAUUUGUGAGGUUUUCUAAUGGAGAGACUUUAGAAAUGUGAUUAGGUUCUGUGCACAUUAAAUCCUGGCCAUUCUACCCGGGACCUUCUUCAUAUAGUUUUAAACACUUUACCGUAAACCUCUGACUAUAAGCCCUGGGCUUGUAUACUUUUUUGUCAGCGAUUUUUGAUGGGCUUAUACAAGGGGGGGGCUAAUACAUGGACGAUCUUUUGUGUUAGUAAUAAACAAGUCAGACAUAAACAAGUCGGUCAUUAACGUGCUUUGAUUUUAACAUACUGAGCUAUAAAGACAAUGACAAUGUUUUUAAAUAUUGUUCUCUGCUAUAUUAAAAGACAAUGUCAAUGUUGAAUAAUGUAGUGGGUUACUUGAGUGGGUUGGGGGACUUAUAUUUGGCUGGCCUUGUAUUGGGGGGGGGCUUAUAUUUGGAAUGAGGUGAGUGUUAGUAUAUGUGGUGGAAGCAUAUUCGGGAGGGGGGGGGUCUUAAUAGUCAGAGGUUUAUGGUAUUGGAUUGUGACCAAACGGUAGGAGUGCGAACAGGACUCAAGGUCCCAUGCGAGGCACUCCUCCGAUUAAAGAUACAACAACAGACAAUACAUGUAGAAUAAAAUAUACAUAACUACAGUCAAAAAUAAACAUAUGCCACCAAAUCGAAAAUCAAAGCUAAGAUUUAUGAUGCUUACGAAUUUAGUGAUAGCAAUAAUACCUUGAAAUGAUGUAUGGAACAGUUAAAUAUAGAAUUUAAGUAAUCAAGCAAUAGCAUAUGUUUAUCUCGUAUGACAUGAGCAAGUUCGAUGUAAUGACCAUGUGCAGACCAUGUCUACAUCGUAACAAGAGAUUAAUAAAUGUAAAUAUGUUCUUGAUAAAAACGAUCUGAACAUAGUUAGGCUACUCAAGUCUGAAGGUUUAGCAGUUCUACACGUACGGUUCCAAAGGGGAACGAUACGAUUAACCCAUUAAGCAGCCAGCGCUCUCCCCUUGACGAGUAAAAUCGUCUGGCGUUAGACAGAGUAAAAUACUAAAGUAGGGUCCAUCAGGGUGCAAUGCGACUCGAUGGGUUAACUAGACACAUGCGCGGAUAGGCCAGUUAACCCUUAACCGCCAGCGCUCUCCCCUUGACGAGUAAAAUUGUCUGGCGUUAGACAGAGUAAAAUACUAAAGUCAGGGCUCGAAACUUGACAUUUUUGUCAGUAUCCAAGUGGAUACCAGCAUCAUAGAAUCUAGUAUCCAUCCUUGAAAUAUAGUAACCCAGAUUUGGAUACUAGAUAUUCUAUUUCCAGUAUCUAAGCAAGGCAAAAUUUUACCUUGCAACCAGGCCUUCAGUUGUUGAGCAAAAACCAGGCCUUUAGUUUCAAUAAUAAAAAUAUGUAUUGAAAUUCGAAAAAAUUGAAAAUAACACACUGCCGUGAUACGAAAGAAAGCACCGUUUGUGAAAUUUUUUUUUUUAAAUAUUCUGCCAAAAUUUAUAGACAUUGAAGUUCGGAAACAUGCCAAACGUCUAGAUGAUUAUCUACUAUCACAAUUUCUAAGUUUUCCUAGUAUCCAGUUGGGAUACUGAGCUUAUGAUACCCAGUAUCCAAAAUUAAAAUCUGAUAUCCUGUGGAUAUCGGGAUACCGCAAGUUUCAAGCCCUGCUAAAGUAGGGUGCAUCAGGGCGCAAUGCGACUCAAUGGGUUAAAGUACGAUGACUGGAAUGUACUUGUUUUGCACUGUAAAGGUACUUUGAGCAUAUUAGGCUUAUGCGCUAGGAUUUACACAAUUACGGGUACGGCUGUAGGUUACGAAUGACACAUAAUCACAAACAUUCAAAUCAUAAUAUCCGUACAUAAAAGAAUGUUACGUCCUUUAUCUCCCUAUCGUAAGAUAGAAUAUUAAGGGCCAACAAAAGAUCGUUGUAUGAGACCUCUCCUAUCUUUACUUGAAGUGUCCAUCUUCUGGCACACCUUUGAAUCCUCUCUAGAUAGGUUCUGUUGGUGGACUGUCACUGUGACCAGACUUCUGUAGCAUAACCCAGUUGGGAUUUCACUAAGAAUAAGUAUAAUGUCCAGGGGUGGAAAAAUAUUUUACUUUCUGGGGCCGCAAGAGAACAUUGAACAUUUUCUGUAAAUAAUCAAGUAAGUCGACACUUGGACACUGUAAUUGUGUAACACUAACAAGUUGUCAAACUGGAUGUCAUGCUAUAUUUCACAGGAAAAAAUAUUUCACUGGAAAUAAUAUUUCACUAAGAAUCUUAAAAUAUAACAUAAAUCUAAUUUUAGAUGGCAUGUAUCAAGGGUAAAUACAGAUGCCAAAAAAGCUAGGGCACUUUUAGGGGACACUAUCAGGGAGAUCAUGCAUGCUCUCCCAGAAAAUUUUGUCCCAGAUCAGCUAAAAAUGCAUUUGCCAUACAACAUUUUUUACAUCGUUCUAUAGUCUAAUACAUUUAUACACUAUCGCACUAUUAAGAUGGUUACACUUAUAAUUGUAUUUCUGAUGUCAUGGUGUGAAUUUCCCUCUGAAUUUCUCUUUUUAUUUGAAUAAUUUAUUACAAUUUUUCUUUCUUGGGAAAAUAUUUUCUGGGAACUUAAAAAAUUUUCUGGGACCAAUGGUCCUGUGGAACGAUACUUUUCCACCCCUGAUAAUGUCCUUCGAGCAACACGAUCUGUUAACAAGGGGCACAUUCUCCGUAAUAAUAUAAUAUUUACCUUGGAUACAAUUUGAAUGAUGUGCUGAUUCCAAUAUAACUUGUCAGUAAUUCCAAGGUCAUGAUGUUAAACCUUGGCUAUUUUACCCCGCUUUUAUAUCAGUAUUAAACCCUGGGUAUCGAAAAAGCAAUGCUUGGUUAAAAUGCUGUAUUUUCCCCCGCAAGCUCUUGUUAAAACCUGGCCUGUACCUGGGGAUUGUGGGACUGGGGUUUCAAUUGACUAGUGCAUAAUAGGUUAACUACACAGAUGAGCAGUCUGAUGAACACAUUGAGUGACAUUGUUCUCCCUAUCUACCGUAAGCCUCUGACUAUAAGCCCUGGGCUUAUAUACUUUCGUAAGCGUUUUUGAUGGGCUUAUGCAAGGCGGGGCGUAUAUAAGGGGGGGGGGGUAGUACAUGGAUGAUCUUUUGUGUCGGUAAUAAAUAAGUCAGACAUAAACAAGUCAGUCAUAAUUGGGGGGCUUAUAUUCGGAAUAAGGUGAGCGUUAGUAUAUGUGGUGGGCUUAUAUUAAGGGGGGGUGGUUUAUAGUCGGAGCUUUAUAUGCUGGUAAUAAAUUGCUUUUCAAGAGUUUAUGUACUAUUUAAAACAUGAGUAGGAGUGUUUUAACUAAUGAAGAUGAUGCUUGUGAUGUUACUCUGAGUGUAUAUCCACACCGGGCAGGCUUGAAAAAUAUGCCUGGCCACGGUGGGAAUCGAACCUACAACCUUUGGAAUACUAGUCCAAUCAGUUCCGAUAGUCGCAUACUCGAACCGAUCUGACCGCAUAGCUCAGUUGGCUGAGCAUUGGACUAGUAUUCCAAAGGUUGUAGGUUCGAUUCCCACCGUGGCAAGGCAUAUUUUUCAAGCCUGCCCGGUGUGGAUAUACACUCAGAGUAACAUCACAAGCAUCUUAUUCACCUGAGUACAUUACACCAACACAGAAAAUAUCAUGAUUGCUAGAUUACAUUGAUAUCGAAGGAACUAGACUCAGUUCCGAAAUAUCACAUACUCGAACCGAUCUGACCGCGUAGCUCAGUUGGCUGAGCAUUGGACUAGUAUUCCAAAGGUUGUAGGUUCAAUUCCCACCAUGGCAAGGCAUAUUUUUCAAGCCUGCCCAGUGUGGAUAUACACUCAGAGUAACAUCACAAGCAUCUUAUUCACCUGAGUACAUUACACCAACACAGAAAAUAUAAUGAAGAUGAGUUUUAUCAGAUAUAAAGUCGUUCCACAUGACAUAUGGCUGACAUGUUUUGCCACAAGGUUUAUGAAUUAUUGAGUAUUUUAAUGUAUUAUAAAACAUAAAGAGAAUUUUUCAUGGCAACAGUUGGGUUAAUUUAUGUGCAUUCUUUAUUGUGGUAUCAGUUAGAUAAUGAUACCAUACUUUUUGUUUCGUUUUUGGAACAAAUUUGAGGACUGCCCAAGAACUGAGACGAGUUGGUUUUUGUACUGUUUAUUAAGAUGUAUGGUACUGUAUAUACAACACAAGUCAAAUAUAUCACAGUCAAAUCCGGUGUUCCGUAGCAAAUUGCAACCAACGCGAACAAAUUGCAAUUUUUACGUACAUUUGCGAUUAUUGGGCAUGUUGACAAUUUUCUGAGAAGUCGCACCCAAAUGUCAGAUGCCAAGCACUUGAUUGGCAAGUGAACAGAACACUGGAUUUGACUUGUAAUUGAACGUGUAAUUUCACGUACAUGCCUAUCUAAGAUUCUAUGGCACUAUAUAAGUUCAAUUUAUACACUUCUAAAGAACAAAUAUUAACCAAUUACAUUGUCUCAUUCACUACUGUCUAUACUAAUCACAUAUACAUGAUAUUAUUAGUAGUUUGAAUUAAACACCGAGAUAAUUAUCUAUACAAUCUUAUAUUACAAUACAUUGGGUCAUUCCAGAAAAGAUCCACCGAGGAAAUUUCUGCCGUCCGGAGGGGGAGGGGAGAAAAAAUUGUUUCUGAUAAUAGUAAAUGUAUUAGGACAUCCAAAGGGGGUAGGGGUAUUAACUUACAAUUUCCUCUGUGGUAUGGAUGUUUUCUGGAAUGACCCAAUAUUGGUUAAUUCACUUUUAUUAAUUAAAUGUGUUUACUGUAACUCUUUAAAUGGGUAAUAUAUGCAUCCUGAUGAGACUUACUUUGUUAUUUCAAUCUGUGUAUAAAUCUCCACUUGAUAAUUUCUGUCUACCAGACCCUUCAAUUCAUGGGUGGAUUUUCAUUUUUUUUAAAGGGGGGGGUAGAGAAAUUUCUGGUGGGGUGCAAGCAGCACCACUCAGUGAGCUUCGACAAGGGUUAGGUGUUAAGGACUUAGGAGGGGUGAAGCAAAAUUUUGGUGGGGUUUGAACGCUUUACAAGAGGGGUUAGAGAAAUUCUAUUGGGGGGGGGGUUAACCCCGUCUAACCCCCCAGUAAAUAAUUUCCUUGACAAUAAUCGUGAGAUGAUUUUUUUAUAUCGCCCAACCCAGGGGAGAACAUUGCAUAGUCAUUCAGUGACAGUGUCACUGAAUGACUAUGCAAUGUUCUCCCCUUAACCCAUUAAGCUGCAGAGCUUCCCAAUUGACAAGUAAAAUCUUACGUCGUUGGACAAGUAAAAAAAAGUAGGGCGCAUUGCAGCUCAAUGGGGUAACUAGAGACAUUGUCAGAUUUUUUGGUUAACCCAUUAAGCUGCAGAGCUUCCCUAUUGAAGAGUGAAAUCGCCCAGUGUUGGACAAGUAAAAAAAGAAUUAUAAAAGUAGGGCACACUGGGACGCAUUGUGGCUCAAUGGGUUAAUGAGUAAAUCACCUGCCAUUAGUCAUACGGUAAUACAAUAAUAAAGUUGGGAGCAUUGCAGCUAAUCAGUUAAUCUUAUUCACCUUAGGCAACGGCAAUUCAACAAUGUAACAAAAUACCAAUGUGUACAAGCCAAUCAAGUCCAACGUAUUGUCAUUUUUGGAUGUUGUAAAAUAGUUCAGUUGGAUUUGCAGAUGAGGUACUUGAAAAGGUCAGUUUCAAUUACAGUAGUUCAGUGCCGUAGCAAGCUCGAUAAUUGGGGUGCUCAUAUUCAUAUAUUUGUGUUCACAGACCAUAAAAACAAUCGAUUUCAAAAGAAAUUAAUAACGCAGAACACAAAUAUAUGAACAUGUUUUUAUCGAUCGAAAGUAAUUGUUUUGAUGAGAGGAAAUGUUUUCAACAAUUUUCAGAGAGUUUGGACUAGUUUGAGGUGGUUUUUGAAUUUUUGAAAAAUUUCCUGUUCAAAUAAAAAGGGGCUUUUUAUUUGACCAAAAUUUUUAAAACAUGUUUUUAUUGAACCGAAACUAGUGCUUUUGAUGAGAGGAAAGGUUUUCGAGAAUUUUCAGAAAGUUUGGACUAGUUUGAGGCAGUAAUUUUUGAAGAAUUUCCUGUGGUCCCCUUUCCUAAGCCUAGGGUACCCUGUGGUCCCCCUUUUGCAUUUGACGAAAAUUUUUAAAACAUGUUUUCAUCAAUCGAAAGUAGUGCUUUUGAUGAAGGGAAAGGUUUUGACAAUUUUCUGAAAGUUUGGACUAGUUUGAGAUGGUUUUUGAAUGUUUUUGAAAAGUUUGCUGUGCCCCUGCUUUGCUAGGCCUAUAAUAGGGUGGGUCAAGUUUUUAAGUGGUAAUGCACGGCCCUACUUUAUUAUUUUACUCUGUCUAAGGGCAGACAAUUUUACUUGUCAAAUGGAGAGUACUGUGGGUUAAUCUGCCCAUGUAUCUUGUUAAUUCUUUCAAGUGGUAAUGCACUCUGAUCUUUAUUAUAAUUUUACUGUAAGGCCUAAAAAAUACAUGUGGUUCCGGUUCCUGACAGACCCUAUUUUUUCGGUUGACCCUAUUAUUUUUUCAACGGGAUUGACUGUGCGACCCUAUUUUCUCCGGGUGGUGCAGGCUGCUCAUACAGCGUGCCAAAAUGUGGCAUAUGUUUUCACACUAAUUAUUGAACCAAAUUGCCUAAAUUCAUCCAUAGGAAAUAUCCAUCUCUCGUAUUAAUGUCCGGACUCUACUGCAAAUUGCCCACCAAAAAACUGUCCAAACCAUGAAAAAAAAAAUUGCAAAAAAAUUUAUUUCUGACCUACCGACCAUAAUUUUUUCACGAUAAGAAACCAGAACCACAGGUAUUUUUUUAGGCCUAAUGACAGAUAUUUUACUUGUCAAUUAGAGAGUGGUGACACUCCAUGGGUCAAGUUAUAUUUCAUCUUAUUCUCACUCAAAUUAAUUUUCGAAGAUGUCUAUCCCUAUGUUAAUUAAGUUAGAUGGUUGCUGACAAGUACGGAACGUGGGCGCGAACUCCCUUCUUCCGCUGCCUUUGACUUUUCGUGCCCGCAUUCCUUACUUGUCGGCGACCAUCAGUACUUCGUAACAAUCACUUUCGACUUCUAAAAACAUGCUUUGCAAAACUUGAAAAUUUCAGUCAAAUGGCAAGGGGGGGGGGGCACAGUGACCAGUCCAGGUUUUUGAGCUAUUUUUCAAUAAUUCAAUAUUGCCCAAAAUCACUGCAGACCUUCUGGAAGUAAUUGGAAAUGUUUUGUUUGGCAAAACGAUGGCUUUCGACUUGUAAGGAUGUGUGUUACAAAUUUUUAAAAUUUUGAUCAAAUGGGAGAGGGGGGUGUUGAUGGCUCCAGUUUUUGAGUUGUUUUUCAAUAAUUCAAAAUUUUCCCCAAAUCACUCCAAACAAAACAUAUUGUAGCUACAAAAUUUGAAAAUUUUGAUGAAAUAUGAGGAGGGGGGCGCAGGCAUUCUCUCAGCUUUCAAUUUUUCCAACCAUACCUUUGAUUCAAUCUAAGGUGUCAUAUGAACUGAAUAUAAUGUUUUCUUUUCCAGGCGAGACAGAUCAACAUGGACAAUGUUUCGACGCUUUAUGAAAGUGAUUUGUUUUCUAAGAACAGAUUUGUGCGUGACAAGGAAAUUAAAGCUUAUGCUUCAGACAUUAUGAGAAUUGAGAAGCCCUAAGAAUGUGAACAUAUAAGAUAAUGGAUGGAGGACAUCAAUCCGUCCGAGGCAUCGAGAACUAAAACCAAAUCAGGUAUUAUACAAACUAUAACUUUAUUUCUGUAUAUGGAUAAUUAAUGCAUUUAUUGAAAAAUAAAAUAUGAUUUUACUUAUAAAAUAUGAUUUUACAGUAAAUAAAAAAGUGGAAAAUCAGCCAUUGGAUUCUGUUGAUCUUUUAAGCAGCAAUGCGCCUGAUUAAUGCCCCCUAAUCUAUUAUUUUACACGGUGUAACACUAGAUUGUUUUACGUCAGACACUUUCACUUGUCAAUAAGAGAGUGCCGCCAGUCUAUACGUUAGGUAAUGACCAUAAGUACAAGCAAAAGUAGUUAGGAUUAUGGUGAGCGGGCGAGUAAGUAUGUGAUACAUACUAUUAGCCCAUUAUUGGCCUUUCCUUAAUUCUCCAAAGCUAAAGGUGUUAGCUGUUAUCUAAUAUGAACAAAAUAUUAAGGGAUACCUUUGGCCAUAUUGAAAGACUGGAUGAAAAUGUUAAUACUUCGACAUUUUGCUGACAAAAAGUAAUGGUAAAAAUAAAAGGAUUAAUUAGGAUAGCCCUUGUCGACAAAAAGUGAGUGAUGAGCUUUUACUUUUUAUCAUUUUUAAAAAUUGGCCAAAAGUAAGUCGCCUUAACUUUUCGUUCAUGUUUAGCCACAGGGGCCC